GGACGAACGCUGGCGGCGUGCUUAACACAUGCAAGUCGAACGGAAAGGCCCUGCUUUUGUGGGGUGCUCGAGUGGCGAACGGGUGAGUAACACGUGAGUAACCUGCCCUUGACUUUGGGAUAACUUCAGGAAACUGGGGCUAAUACCGGAUAGGAGCUCCUGCUGCAUGGUGGGGGUUGGAAAGUUUCGGCGGUUGGGGAUGGACUCGCGGCUUAUCAGCUUGUUGGUGGGGUAGUGGCUUACCAAGGCUUUGACGGGUAGCCGGCCUGAGAGGGUGACCGGCCACAUUGGGACUGAGAUACGGCCCAGACUCCUACGGGAGGCAGCAGUGGGGAAUAUUGCACAAUGGGCGGAAGCCUUAUGCAGCAACGCCGCGUGCGGGAUGACGGCCUUCGGGUUGUAAACCGCUUUCGCCUGUGACGAAGCGUGAGUGACGGUAAUGGGUAAAGAAGCACCGGCUAACUACGUG
Molecule: ribosomal RNA, 469 nt
Filed under: uncultured bacterium
Lineage: Bacteria
Description: partial 16S ribosomal RNA
Rfam family: Bacterial small subunit ribosomal RNA
Source: RNAcentral